Molecule: long non-coding RNA, 1600 nt
Organism: Magnolia sinica
Lineage: Eukaryota; Viridiplantae; Streptophyta; Magnoliopsida; Magnoliales; Magnoliaceae
Exons: 3
Source: RefSeq, a predicted model, not a curated record
GGCAUCAAGGUACACAUGAAAAUCUAUCUGUUACCAUUGAUUUAUUCUCUCCUAUUUCUUCUUUGGCUCUGGAAUCUUUAUGCAACUCUGACUGCAUGAGAAUUUCAAAGGUUAUUCUUUCUGAUGCCAAUGUGCCGGGUGAGGGGGAUCACAAGAUAAUGUUGUACAUUCGCUUGCAAAGAAAUCUACCAGGGUUUGACCUGAAUACACAGCAUUGCUUGUAUGGGUUGGAUGCUGACUUGAUCAUGCUAGCACUAGCUACACAUGAAGUGCAUUUUUCAAUUCUUAGAGAGGUUGGUAUGUAAGGCUUCAAGAGCUUUUCUCUAAGAGUACAAGUAUAUGCAAAAUAACAAUCCACUUAGAUAUGCUUGGUCCUUGAGAAACCAGAUUAUUUGCAAUAUGGAUGGAGCUUGACUGUCACACAGUGAAGAGUUUGAUAUCUAGCUCUCUUCUUAAAUGUAUUUCUUGUUGUUUUCUUUUUUUCAUGAUUGUCCCUGGUUAGAACAAGGCCUUAACCUGGACAGUUGCAAUAUCUGAUCUGUAAUUAUUAUUUUUUGGCUAUGGCAUUCCAUGGCGGGGCCCAAUGGAUGGCCGAAAGGGAUCUUAAAGAGGCACAAGAGUGUCUCUCUAGGAGUUCUAUAUAUCCUGGAUAUUAUAAUCUAGAGACACGAGAACCUUCCUAGAACAAGCUAUCCAUACCCUUGUACUCACAUCUUUGCACUCUUGAACUUGUCCUCUUGAGAAUGUUUUUGUGAGGCAUAUGGAUGUCCACACUGAGAUUUGUUCAACACUUGGAUGUGCAAAUAUUUCUAGUGAAUUUUGGAUCCAUCUAAAGAAAAAUAGGUCCAAUCAUUCUAGUUUUGGGACCUCUCUUGGAUUUGUAUGGUUCUAAAGAAUUGCAUUGUUAAGGUUAUGCUCCCAUUCGGUUGAUUGCUCCAAAAAUAGAAAUUAUAAGAAAAAUGGUCUAUAAUUAGAUUAUCGGAAUCGUCUGGUUGGUCAGGAUUCUGCACUGCAGCCUGCAAAGAGUUUGAUUCCUUCAUUGUUCAUUGUAGACCUGCAACAACUUGUUGUAUAUGAUCUUUCUUCAAACGCAAAAUUCUAUUUAUCUGCAAACUAACCAAGUUAUCUUUAGGUUGAUUUUAUGGGUUUAUGGGAUGGGUGGAUGGAUGGGUUGCAUUGAUGAAGCCAAGACUAUGAACUUGCAUGCCUGUUACUUGCUACAUUUAUUCCUUUUACUGAAAGUUUUAUGUUGCUUGAAGUCAAAUGUGUGAUAUAUUCUUAUUCAUGACCAGGGAAGUGGAUCCGUGUACCAGUGAGCGGAGGAUCCUAUUUCACACCCAAUAUGUAAGCUAUGUAACUUCCUGACUAUGUUGCACUGAUGAUUCAUUCCAGGAUACACAGCACAAUUCAUCCCCACCACAUCAGUAUUAAAAGUAGUUAUUUUAGUUAGGAAAUUAAGAAUAAAAAAUCCCUAAGAGUCAUUGACACAUACAAUGCUUUUUGAAUUUGAUGGUUGAGUUAGAUGGAAUUGGUAUGACUUAACUUCAGUUUUCAGUUACGGGCUGGUAUUUUUGACAGUCUAAACCAUCACUUGAAAGAG